UGCAGUCGACGGCAGCGCGGGGCAACCUGGCGGCGAGUGGCGAACGGGUGAGUAAUAUAUCGGAACGUACCCAGAAGUGGGGGAUAACGUAGCGAAAGUUACGCUAAUACCGCAUACGAUCUACGGAUGAAAGUGGGGGACCUUCGGGCCUCAUGCUUUUGGAGCGGCCGAUAUCUGAUUAGCUAGUUGGUGGGGUAAAGGCUCACCAAGGCAACGAUCAGUAGCUGGUCUGAGAGGACGACCAGCCACACUGGAACUGAGACACGGUCCAGACUCCUACGGGAGGCAGCAGUGGGGAAUUUUGGACAAUGGGCGCAAGCCUGAUCCAGCAAUGCCGCGUGAGUGAAGAAGGCCUUCGGGUUGUAAAGCUCUUUUGUCAGGGAAGAAACGGNUCAGGCUAAUAUCCUGGGCUAAUGACGGUACCUGAAGAAUAAGCACCGGCUAACUACGUGCCAGCAGCCGCGGUAAUACGUAGGGUGCAAGCGUUAAUCGGAAUUACUGGGCGUAAAGCGUGCGCAGGCGGUUUUGUAAGUCUGAUGUGAAAGCCCCGGGCUCAACCUGGGAAUUGCAUUGGAGACUGCAAGGCUUGAAUCUGGCAGA
RNAcentral lists this ribosomal RNA (600 nucleotides) under uncultured bacterium. RNAcentral describes it as "bacterial SSU rRNA". It matches the Rfam family "Bacterial small subunit ribosomal RNA", at positions 56 to 655 of the family's 1533-position model. The record is from RNAcentral.